This 253-nucleotide ribosomal RNA is filed under the name uncultured bacterium. Its description in RNAcentral is "partial 16S ribosomal RNA". It matches the Rfam family "Bacterial small subunit ribosomal RNA", at positions 524 to 776 of the family's 1533-position model. The record is from RNAcentral.
GACGAACCGAGCGAACGUUGUUCGGAAUCACUGGGCGUAAAGCGCACGUAGGCGGACUCUUAAGUCGGUGGUGAAAUCCUGGAGCUCAACUCCAGAACUGCCUUCGAUACUGAGAGUCUCGAGUCCGAGAGAGGUGAGUGGAACUGCGAGUGUAGAGGUGAAAUUCGUAGAUAUUCGCAAGAACACCAGUGGCGAAGGCGGCUCACUGGCUCGGUACUGACGCUGAGGUGCGAAAGCGUGGGGAGCAAACAGG